CUUGAGCAUGGGGCACGUCAGGACCGAACAUCUCAAAAUCUUCAUCUUCAAUGGAAUGAGAAGGAGUGGCCCUACCCCUGCAGUCCAAACAGCCCAGCUUGUAUGCAUAAAUGACAGCCUCAGACUUGGAUCGUUCAGCAGCUUUGUGGUAGGUAUCAAACUUGGCCAGAAGUUUGUCAUAACUCGAGGAUAUGUCAGCAUUCUUUCUCUCAAGACAGAAGUAGGCC
RNAcentral lists this long non-coding RNA (227 nucleotides) under Prunus persica (peach). RNAcentral's name for it is "long non-coding RNA (PPER_LNC004707)". Lineage: Eukaryota; Viridiplantae; Streptophyta; Magnoliopsida; Rosales; Rosaceae. The record is from RNAcentral.